UGGGGAAUAUUGCACAAUGGGCGCAAGCCUGAUGCAGCCAUGCCGCGUGUGUGAAGAAGGCCUUCGGGUUGUAAAGCACUUUCAGCGGGGAGGAAGGCGAUAAGGUUAAUAACCUUGUCGAUUGACGUUACCCGCAGAAGAAGCACCGGCUAACUCCGUGCCAGCAGCCGCGGUAAUACGGAGGGUGCAAGCGUUAAUCGGAAUUACUGGGCGUAAAGCGCACGCAGGCGGUCUGUCAAGUCGGAUGUGAAAUCCCCGGGCUCAACCUGGGAACUGCAUUGGAAACUGGCAGGCUAGAGUCUGGUAGAGGGGGGUAGAAUUCCAGGUGUAGCGGUGAAAUGCGUAGAGAUCUGGAGGAAUACCGGUGGCGAAGGCGGCCCCCUGGACAAAGACUGACGCUCAGGUGCGAAAGCGUGGGGAGCAAACAGG
RNAcentral lists this ribosomal RNA (429 nucleotides) under Chloroflexota bacterium. RNAcentral's name for it is "Chloroflexi bacterium partial 16S ribosomal RNA". It matches the Rfam family "Bacterial small subunit ribosomal RNA", at positions 355 to 776 of the family's 1533-position model. Lineage: Bacteria; Bacillati; Chloroflexota. The record is from RNAcentral.